AAGAAGGUGAUAACCAUGUUUGUACAGC
This 28-nucleotide non-coding RNA is filed under the name Homo sapiens (human). Lineage: Eukaryota; Metazoa; Chordata; Mammalia; Primates; Hominidae. The record is from RNAcentral.